This 441-nucleotide ribosomal RNA is filed under the name uncultured bacterium. Its description in RNAcentral is "partial 16S ribosomal RNA". It matches the Rfam family "Bacterial small subunit ribosomal RNA", at positions 338 to 795 of the family's 1533-position model. The record is from RNAcentral.
CCUACGGGGGGCAGCAGUGGGGGAUAUUGCACAAUGGGGGGAACCCUGAUGCAGCGACGCCGCGUGGGUGAAGGAGUAUUUCGGUAUGUAAAGCCCUAUCGGCAGGGAAGAAGCAAGACGGUACCUGACUAAGAAGCCCCGGCUAACUACGUGCCAGCAGCCGCGGUAAUACGUAGGGGGCGAGCGUUAGCCGGAUUCACUGGGUGUAAAGGGAGCGUAGACGGCCAUGCAAGCCAGGGGUGAAAGCCCGGGGCCCAACCCCGGGACUGCCCUUGGAACUGCAUGGCUGGAGUGCGGGAGGGGCAGGCGGAAUGCCUGGUGUAGCGGUGAAAUGCGUAGAUAGCAGGAGGAACACCGGCGGCGAAGGCGGCCUGCUGGACCGCGACUGACGUUGAGGCUCGAAAGCGUGGGGAGCGAACAGGAUUAGAUACCCGGGUAGUC